Long non-coding RNA from Acanthochromis polyacanthus (spiny chromis), 776 nucleotides. RefSeq lists it as uncharacterized. The transcript has 4 exons. The record is from RefSeq and is a predicted model, not a curated record. Lineage: Eukaryota; Metazoa; Chordata; Actinopteri; Pomacentridae.
UUAGAAGGUAAAUGUAGCGUUAGAGGGUAAAUGUAGCGUUAGAAGGUAAAUGUAGCGUUAGAAGGUAAAUGUAGCGUUAGAAGGUAAAUGUAGCGUUAGAGGGUAAAUGUAGCGUUAGAGGGUAAAUGUAGCGUUAGAGGGUAAAUGUAGCGUUAGAGGGUAAAUGUAGCGUUAGAAGGUAAAUGUAGCAUUAGAGGGUAAAUGUAGCGUUAGAAGGUAAAUGUAGCGUUAGAGGGUAAAUGUAGCGUUAGAAGGUAAAUGUAGCGUUAGAGGAUAAAUGUAGCGUUAGAGGGUAAAUGUAGCGUUAGAGGGUAAAUGUAGCGUUAGAGGGUAAAUGUAGCGUUAGAGGGUAAAUGUAGCGUUAGAAGGUAAAUGUAGCGUUAGAGGGUAAAUGUAGCGUUAGAGGGUAAAUGUAGCGUUAGAGGGUAAAUGUAGCGUUAGAAGGUAAAUGUAGCGUUAGAAGGUAAAUGUAGCGUUAGAGGGUAAAUGUAGCGUUAGAGGGUAAAUGUAGCGUUAGAGGAUGAAUGUAGCGUUAGAGGGUAAAUGUAGCGUUAGAGGGUAAAUGUAGCGUUAGAGGGUAAAUGUAGCGUUAGAGGGUAAAUGUAGCGUUAGAGGGUAAAUGUAGCGUUAGAGGGUAAAUGUAGCGUUAGAGGGUAAAUGUAGCAUUAGAGAGUAAAUGUAGUGUCACUUAUCAAUAUUUGCUGAAAAUCAAAUCUCUUAUUUAUAAUAUCCUGAAAGGAUCCGAUACCAAAAAAAUUAAUGAUUUAUAUAAACAA